GACGAACGCUGGCGGCGUGCCUAAUACAUGCAAGUAGGACGCUGAAGGAGGAGCUUGCUUCUCUGGAUGAGUUGCGAACGGGUGAGUAACGCGUAGGUAACCUGCCUGGUAGCGGGGGAUAACUAUUGGAAACGAUAGCUAAUACCGCAUAAGAUUGACUAUUGCAUGAUAGUCAGUUAAAAGGUGCAAUUGCAUCACUACCAGAUGGACCUGCGUUGUAUUAGCUAGUUGGUGGGGUAACGGCUCACCAAGGCGACGAUACAUAGCCGACCUGAGAGGGUGAUCGGCCACACUGGGACUGAGACACGGCCCAGACUCCUACGGGAGGCAGCAGUAGGGAAUCUUCGGCAAUGGACGGAAGUCUGACCGAGCAACGCCGCGUGAGUGAAGAAGGUUUUCGGAUCGUAAAGCUCGGUUGUAAGAGAAGAACGAGUGUGAGAGUGGAAAGUUCACACUGUGACGGUAGCUUACCAGAAAGGGACGGCUAACUACGUG
RNAcentral lists this ribosomal RNA (495 nucleotides) under uncultured bacterium. RNAcentral describes it as "partial 16S ribosomal RNA". It matches the Rfam family "Bacterial small subunit ribosomal RNA", at positions 28 to 507 of the family's 1533-position model. The record is from RNAcentral.